UGCCUCUCUCUUAGUUCACCUUCAAACCAGGGAUGCCAAUGAUGGGCUAAAGUCAGCAAACUAUUGUAGUUCAACCAUCCAGAAGUUCUCAGGAAAUCUUGGGAUUAUCCUUCCCGUUUUCAUCGAUAAGUCUUCCUUUAAUAAUGUGUGUGUGUGAUUGACACAAAAUGGUUCUUGAAAUUCAAAUCUGAGCAAAUUACAAAAUGGGUCCGAGUCUGGUAUUGUCAAGGGUUAACAGGGUUCUAAUGGCGUUGCCCUGGAACAUCACAAUCUGAUUUUAAAAACAAACAAGCAAACAGUAAUGCAUGGCCUGGAAGUAAUUCCACAAAUGUUCCUGUACAAGAAUAGGCCUGUCCAACCCUGAAAAGUCGCCCAUCCUUGCAGAUAACAGCUGCAAGAGGACUUGGCCAGCACUCACAGGGCCCAUCAACUCCUGGAGGAGAAACUCCAAAGCCUGGUAUGUCUCUGGGCUGGGCUGGGGCAGGGGGGGGGGGAGGGGGCAGGUGGGGAGCCGGACAGCCCCAGCCCCCAUCCCAGCUUCACUCCCCAUCUCCUUCUCCUCCCAGGUCUCCAGGUUGGCUUCCAGCCCUCUGGGAUCCCCUGUUUUCUUUUUCCUGAAUGAGGCUCCCAGCGGCAACCUGGACUCUGCCAUGCCCUGGGUGAACCCAGAGCUGAGGAAGGGGGGUGGUGUGGGAGUCCUGGGGGCCACCAGGAAGGAGAGUCAACACUGCUGUGAAAGGAGUCUGCCCCAGGCUCCCCUGUCCCAACUUUCUUAGUGUCAGCAAUAAAGCCUGAGACUGUAGCUCCCUGCCCUGUGCC
RNAcentral lists this long non-coding RNA (819 nucleotides) under Monodelphis domestica (gray short-tailed opossum). Its description in RNAcentral is "lncRNA (ENSMODG00000010186.5)". The record is from RNAcentral. Lineage: Eukaryota; Metazoa; Chordata; Mammalia; Didelphimorphia; Didelphidae.